GGGUAGAGAGAGAGAGAGAGAGAGAGAGAGAGAGAGAGAGAGAUUUAAUUUAAAUUUAAAUUUUUAAAAUUUAUAGUUAUUUAAAAUUUAAAUUUAUAAUUUUAAAUUAUAAAUUUUAAUGUUUACAUUACUAAAUUUGAUAUUUUUAAUUUUUAAAUUUUUAAUUUAAUUUUUUAGAUUUUACUUUUAAAAUUUGAUACUUUAGAUUCUUUCAAAUUUAAAUUUGAUCUUAAAUUUAAAAUUUGAUAUUUAAAAUUUAAUUUUUGAAAAUUAAAAGUUUUAAUUUUAAUUUUAAAUUUUAAAUUUUAAAAGUUAAAAAUUGUUAAUUUAAAAUUAUAAGUUUAAAAUUUUAAAUUUAAUUAUAGGAUUAAAAUCAUUAUUUUCUAUUUAUAACUAUCAACUAUUCCAUCUUAUACUCACAUUUUCAUCCAAACAUAAUUUUUUUAAUUUUAAUUUAUACCCACAUUUUUAUUCAAAUAAAAAAAAAUUCUUUUUCCUACGAAAAUGUGAGUAUAAGAUGGAAUAGUUGAUAGUUAUAAAUAGAAAAUAAUGAUUUUAAUCCUAUAAUUAUUUUUUUAAUUUUAAUUUAUACCCACAUUUUUAUUCAAAUAAAAAAAAAUUCUUUUUCCUACGAAAAUUUAUACCUUUAUCUAUCUUUGGUAUAACUAGUUUUUACUUAUAUCCGAACCAUAUGAAUUAAUAAAAAAAAUUCCUUUGGGAAGGGGGUAUAUGGACGGUAAUGGAAGUGUAGGGG
Molecule: long non-coding RNA, 754 nt
Filed under: Ananas comosus (pineapple)
Lineage: Eukaryota; Viridiplantae; Streptophyta; Magnoliopsida; Poales; Bromeliaceae
Description: long non-coding RNA (ACOM_LNC027237)
Source: RNAcentral